This is a non-coding RNA of Parasteatoda tepidariorum (common house spider), 614 nucleotides long. The record is from RefSeq and is a predicted model, not a curated record. NCBI's taxonomy places the organism in Eukaryota, Metazoa, Arthropoda, Arachnida, Araneae, Theridiidae.
CUAGUUUUAUUGGUGAACCGGUGUUGUAUUUAAUCGUGCUACAUGAUACUUCAACUACAGAAAAAUGAGCCUCUCACAUCCCGAUAACGAUGCAUUCAGAAAUAAAGAUGUUCCGAAUACACAUGAAAAACCAGGACAAUCAAGAAUAACUGUGAAUCCUGGACUACAUGAACAUUAUAAGGAACAGAAAAGAACCUGGCAGUCUGGAUUAAAGAGCAGGAUGUUGUCUUUUUCAACUGUGAUGAUACACGACGGAAAACAUUAAGCUAAAAUUACCAGUUAAUUUACAGCAUUUUGAGAUUUAUUGAAAAAAGUAGAUAUUGACCAAAAAGAUUAAGUUGCUUCUUUCCUUUGACUGCCUUCCUCAAGACUGUUGGAAAAGUAGGCCUAUAUCCAUUGUCUUUAAUUGAAAUGACUUGCAGAGUAAAGGACUGAUUUUCAAGAAAAACCUUAUCUUUUGCAGUGAUUCUGCUUAACUUCGGAAUUUAUGGUGUGGGGAAUGAGUUGUUACAGACCAUGUCAACCUUCAUCUAUGAAAAGGUACCCCAACAUAGAGUCGAGUUAACAUGUCUUAUAUACUAGUGAAUUGUAGUUGUAAUUUUGUAGUGGUAGAU